GACGAACGCUGGCGGCGUGCCUAAUACAUGCAAGUAGAACGCUGAAGAGAGGAGCUUGCUCUUCUUGGAUGAGUUGCGAACGGGUGAGUAACGCGUAGGUAACCUGCCUGGUAGCGGGGGAUAACUAUUGGAAACGAUAGCUAAUACCGCAUAAUAGUAGAUGUUGCAUGACAUUUGCUUAAAAGGUGCAAUUGCAUCACUACCAGAUGGACCUGCGUUGUAUUAGCUAGUUGGUGAGGUAACGGCUCACCAAGGCAACGAUACAUAGCCGACCUGAGAGGGUGAUCGGCCACACUGGGACUGAGACACGGCCCAGACUCCUACGGGAGGCAGCAGUAGGGAAUCUUCGGCAAUGGACGGAAGUCUGACCGAGCAACGCCGCGUGAGUGAAGAAGGUUUUCGGAUCGUAAAGCUCUGUUGUAAGAGAAGGACGAGUGUGAGAGUGGAAAGUUCACACUGUGACGGUAUCUUACCAGAAAGGGACGGCUAACUACGUG
This 497-nucleotide ribosomal RNA is filed under the name uncultured bacterium. Its description in RNAcentral is "partial 16S ribosomal RNA". It matches the Rfam family "Bacterial small subunit ribosomal RNA", at positions 28 to 507 of the family's 1533-position model. The record is from RNAcentral.